This 279-nucleotide ribosomal RNA is filed under the name uncultured Bacillota bacterium. RNAcentral's name for it is "uncultured Firmicutes bacterium partial 16S ribosomal RNA". It matches the Rfam family "Bacterial small subunit ribosomal RNA", at positions 65 to 339 of the family's 1533-position model. The record is from RNAcentral. Lineage: Bacteria; Bacillati; Bacillota.
AACGGAGUCAAGAGGAGCUUGCUUUUCUUGACUUAGUGGCGAACGGGUGAGUAACGCGUGAGUAACCUGCCCUGGAGUGGGGGACAACAGUUGGAAACGACUGCUAAUACCGCAUAAGACCACAUUACCGCAUGGUAGAGGGGUCAAAGAGAUAUCGCUUAUGGAUGAGCUCGCGUCCUAUUAGGUAGUUGGUGAGGUAACGGCCCACCAAGCCGACGAUCGGUAGCCGACCUGAGAGGGUGAUCGGCCACAUUGGGACUGAGACACGGCCCAAACUCC